This 249-nucleotide unclassified non-coding RNA is filed under the name Hevea brasiliensis (rubber tree). The record is from RNAcentral. Lineage: Eukaryota; Viridiplantae; Streptophyta; Magnoliopsida; Malpighiales; Euphorbiaceae.
ACUUAAAAUCAAAAGCAAGAAUCAUGGCUGUUCCUGAUUUAGCUCAUACAUCAUGUGGCAUCAAAGAAUUAGAAGGAGUGGGGCUUGUUGACAAGAAUGGUGCACCCCUUUCUAGUUGGUCAAGGACUGUUGAUCUUUCUUCUUUUGACAGUCCAGAUGAUGAAACAUGGAUUAGACUUGGUGCGCAGCAUGGUAGCUGUGAUGAACAAGAUGAAGCUUAUAUUGGUGAAUUGCUCCAGUCUGUACAGA